GUCUCUGGGGACAUCCGACAAAAUUGGAAUGAUGCACAGAAGAUUAGCAUGGCCCUUGCACAAGGAUUAUACGCACAAAUCGAGAAAUUAUCCCAGCAAACUAUU
Molecule: non-coding RNA, 105 nt
Organism: Nicotiana attenuata
Lineage: Eukaryota; Viridiplantae; Streptophyta; Magnoliopsida; Solanales; Solanaceae
Source: Rfam